AGUGAAAGGAAUAACUUAUAGAAUAAGAUUGGAAGCUGAAAGUUUGUUUCUAGGAAGACUAAGAAGUAAGACCUUUUAAAAAUCUCACCUUGUAAUAGCUAAAGUAUGAAUAAUAGGUUUUUACAUUAGUCUUUGAUAGUUCUGGUUACAACUGUGUUCUGUGGAAGUGAAAGGAGUAUCUUAGAGACUCUGAAGGCAGCAGUGAUAGUUACUCAAGCCCAUAUUUCCCACAGAAGACAAGGGGCAAAUCAAAUCACCAUUGGCAGGUGAAUUGCAUGAUGGAAGGUUCUGCAGCAGCUCUGUGCUGGACAGACCAAUAACAAUUCAGUUCCAGCAAUAUUUAGCUUUAGCAAAUGCUGUGCUGUCCAUGAACAAACUUAAUUAAAAGAAAGCUGAGUCCAGCUUACACAGCAGACACAGCACUCUGAUAGUUUGCACAGAGAGAAGAAAUCCUGGGCAUAUAUAAACUGUGAACUCUUUUAAAGUUCAUGGUUUUAAUUAGAGCAGUACUUAUAAAUAAUACUCCUCUGUGGAGCUGAUACAGGUGUUUGUGACAAAUAAUUUCCUACAAUACUUUUUGUUUUUUCUCUUCAUAGGUCAUGGAAUUUGGAAUUUGCUUGCUUGCAAUUUUUGGACAAAAUUUGGUAGAGCAAUUUUUAGCCUAUGCUUUGUUUAAGGAGUAACUGCAAGGAGUGUUUCAGUGAUGGCACAGUAAUGGUGGGUGCCCAAAUCACAUAUUUUCUGAUUAGAUGACUCCAGGAAAAGGACUUCAAAUGGAAUUCUUUUCUGGGGUCCUUAUAAAGUUCAGAAGUGCUUAAAUGUAAUUAUUUGAGUAACAAUAAAAUGCUUUUGAAAAUCAUUGGGAAAAUGCUUUUCUUCAGAAUAGCACUUAGGAGUGUUUUCUGUGUACAUGUUCAGAACCACUGUGUCUUUUCAGGAAGUGACUUAAUUAAGAGACUUUUGACAUGACUUAGUGACAAUCAAGCUUAUACAGAAAAUGGAUGCUGCAGGUUUCGUUUUAGCUAUAUUUAUAAUGUUUGAUGGAUUUGGCUUAAUUAUUACUCUAUAGUGGUUGCAUAAUUAUUCUGGGGCCAAAUCUGCUGUGACUCUUUGGAAAUACCAUAUUUAAUAUAUUUUGCACCAUCAUAGUGUAAACAUCAGGUAAGGCUGGGCACACAAGAAAGGUAAUUUAUGAAACAUGUAGUCAGCACUAAGUCUAAAAAGGCGCAGUGGCUACUGUGAAGUCGAUUUGUCAGGGUGUGAGAUUUAACAUCUCAGGAUGUUAAACCUUUGUGUAUUGAAGCCUUUGGAAGACCAUCAAACAACACAGAGAUUCUUUUGAAGGUACCUAAGACAAAAUAAGCUGCUUUGAGUAACCAAAUGUCCUCUGUUCUUGAGUAUUUUCCCUGUGAAACCAUCCGUUUAGACAGUCUUGCUUGAGGAGAUAGCUCAUGCUUCCGACAAUGCCUAAUGCAAAAAAAUUUAGAGUGGAAAAGGAAGCAGCCAGGCUCAGUAGAGAUA
Molecule: non-coding RNA, 1521 nt
Organism: Sturnus vulgaris (Common starling)
Lineage: Eukaryota; Metazoa; Chordata; Aves; Passeriformes; Sturnidae
Source: RefSeq, a predicted model, not a curated record